RNAcentral lists this ribosomal RNA (305 nucleotides) under uncultured bacterium. Its description in RNAcentral is "bacterial SSU rRNA". It matches the Rfam family "Bacterial small subunit ribosomal RNA", at positions 28 to 334 of the family's 1533-position model. The record is from RNAcentral.
GAUGAACGCUAGCGGCAGGCCUAACACAUGCAAGUCGAGGGGUAGGAGCAGCUUGCUGCUUUGAGACCGGCGCACGGGUGCGUAACGCGUAUGCAAUCUACCUUAUACUAAGGGAUAGCCCGGAGAAAUCCGGAUUAAUACCUUAUGGUUUUUAUGAAUAGCAUUAUUUAUAGAAUAAAGAUUUAUCGGUAUAAGAUGAGCAUGCGUCCCAUUAGUUAGUUGGUGUGGUAACGGCACACCAAGACGAUGAUGGGUAGGGGUCCUGAGAGGGAGAUCCCCCACACUGGUACUGAGACACGGACCAG